UGGGGAAUAUUGGACAAUGGGCGAAAGCCUGAUCCAGCCAUGCCGCGUGUGUGAAGAAGGUCUUCGGAUUGUAAAGCACUUUAAGUUGGGAGGAAGGGCAUUAACCUAAUACGUUAGUGUUUUGACGUUACCGACAGAAUAAGCACCGGCUAACUCUGUGCCAGCAGCCGCGGUAAUACAGAGGGUGCAAGCGUUAAUCGGAAUUACUGGGCGUAAAGCGCGCGUAGGUGGUUUGUUAAGUUGGAUGUGAAAUCCCCGGGCUCAACCUGGGAACUGCAUGCAAAACUGACUGACUAGAGUAUGGUAGAGGGUGGUGGAAUUUCCUGUGUAGCGGUGAAAUGCGUAGAUAUAGGAAGGAACACCAGUGGCGAAGGCGACCACCUGGACUAAUACUGACACUGAGGUGCGAAAGCGUGGGGAGCAAACA
This 427-nucleotide ribosomal RNA is filed under the name uncultured bacterium. RNAcentral describes it as "partial 16S ribosomal RNA". It matches the Rfam family "Bacterial small subunit ribosomal RNA", at positions 355 to 774 of the family's 1533-position model. The record is from RNAcentral.